CCUACGGGAGGCUGCAGUGAGGAAUAUUGGUCAAUGGGCGGGAGCCUGAACCAGCCAAGUCGCGUGAAGGAAGAAGGUACUUAGUAUUGUAAACUUCUUUUGUCGGGGAACAAAGGCGGAGACGCGUCGCCGGAUGAGUGUACCCGAAGAAAAAGCAUCGGCUAACUCGGUGCCAGCAGCCGCGGUAAUACGGGGGAUGCGAGCGUUAUCCGGAUUUAUUGGGUUGACAGGGUGCGCAGGCGGGAGAUCAAGUCAGCGGUAAACUGUAGGGGCUCAACCCCGGCCGGCCGUUGAAACUGGUUUUCUAGAGUGUGAGAGAGGUAUGCGGAAUUCGUGGUGUAGCGGUGAAAUGCUUAGAUAUCACGAAGAACUCCGAUUGCGAAGGCAGCAUACCGGCGGCGAUCUGACGCUGAGGCACGAAAGCGUGGGUAUCGAACAGGAUUAGAUACCCCAGUAGUC
This 459-nucleotide ribosomal RNA is filed under the name uncultured bacterium. Its description in RNAcentral is "partial 16S ribosomal RNA". It matches the Rfam family "Bacterial small subunit ribosomal RNA", at positions 338 to 795 of the family's 1533-position model. The record is from RNAcentral.